Molecule: ribosomal RNA, 655 nt
Filed under: uncultured bacterium
Lineage: Bacteria
Description: bacterial SSU rRNA
Rfam family: Bacterial small subunit ribosomal RNA
Source: RNAcentral
GCCCACCAAGGCGACGAUCAGUAGGGGUUCUGAGAGGAAGGUCCCUCACAUUGGAACUGAGACACGGUCCAAACUCCUACGGGAGGCAGCAGUGAGGAAUAUUGGUCAAUGGGCGAGAGCCUGAACCAGCCAAGUAGCGUGCAGGAUGACGGCCCUAUGGGUUGUAAACUGCUUUUAUAAGGGAAUAAAGUGAGCCUCGUGAGGCUUUUUGCAUGUACCUUAUGAAUAAGGACCGGCUAAUUCCGUGCCAGCAGCCGCGGUAAUACGGAAGGUCCGGGCGUUAUCCGGAUUUAUUGGGUUUAAAGGGAGCGUAGGCCGGAGAUUAAGCGUGUUGUGAAAUGUAGGUGCUCAACAUCUGCACUGCAGCGCGAACUGGUUUCCUUGAGUACGCACAAAGUGGGCGGAAUUCGUGGUGUAGCGGUGAAAUGCUUAGAUAUCACGAAGAACUCCGAUUGCGAAGGCAGCUCACUGGAGCGCAACUGACGCUGAAGCUCGAAAGUGCGGGUAUCGAACAGGAUUAGAUACCCUGGUAGUCCGCACGGUAAACGAUGGAUGCCCGCUGUUGGUCUGAAUAGGUCAGCGGCCAAGCGAAAGCAUUAAGCAUCCCACCUGGGGAGUACGCCGGCAACGGUGAAACUCAAAGGAAUUGACGGGG